UACGUAGGGUGCAAGCGUUGUCCGGAAUUAUUGGGCGUAAAGAGCUCGUAGGCGGUUUGUCGCGUCGAAUGUGAAAACCCGGGGCUCAACCUCGGGUCUGCAGUCGAUACGGGCAAACUGGAGUACUGCAGGGGAGACUGGAAUUCCUGGUGUAGCGGUGAAAUGCGCAGAUAUCAGGAGGAACACCGGUGGCGAAGGCGGGUCUCUGGGCAGUAACUGACGCUGAGGAGCGAAAGCGUGGGGAGCGAACAGG
This 253-nucleotide ribosomal RNA is filed under the name uncultured bacterium. RNAcentral describes it as "partial 16S ribosomal RNA". It matches the Rfam family "Bacterial small subunit ribosomal RNA", at positions 524 to 776 of the family's 1533-position model. The record is from RNAcentral.